CUAGUUAACAACAGAGAAACUUUCACUGACACUAGAAGGCUGUAUCAGUUGCACAGGUUUGGCUGAAGGGACAGAAAUCCCUCCCAAGAGUGGCUAAACUGCGAAGGCAUCUCACCUGGAAUGUUUGAUGAUGAUGUGAGAGGCGGGAGGUCCAGAGGUGGUCUGGGGGCUCACAAUGUCAUCAGUGACCCAGGUGCCACCCUCCUCUCUACUCUGCAGUUAACAGGAUAUUGAUGUCACUCCCUGAUGGGUUGCACUGCGGCUGCCUCCACUGCAAUCAUCACAUCUGCAUAGCUAGCACUCAAGCCAGAAGCAAGGGGCACCUUCUGGAACCCAGCCCACCUCUUCGCAGGAAGGAGAAUCCCUCACAGAAGCCCCCAAAGACUACCUCUAAUACCUCAUUGGCCUCCUUGGCCUUCAGGGCCUUCUGGGCCUUGCCCCGCCCACCCAGCCUCUCCCCCAGGGGUUCCUGUAGCCCCCAUCAGCCACAUCAGUGAAGUGAGGAAGGAGAGGGGACAUGAACACAGGCGACCUGGACAGAAAGUGCACAUUCGGAGAGCAGCAGGGAGAGAGGCUUCCACCCGAGGAUCAAGUACACAGGAAGUGCUCAAUACACACUGAGGCUACAGGGGCCUGCUCUCCGUCCUCCCACGCCAGGGCACACCCACGCUUCGUUCCACGGGCCCUGCCCUGGGGCUCCGACUCCAGCCCUUCUGCCAUCCCCGAAAUCCGUCAGCUCAGACAGUACAUGUGCUAGGGCUUCACAGGGCUGCACUGAUGUGCAGGUCAUGUGCUGGGAGGCGUCGGCG
Molecule: long non-coding RNA, 809 nt
Organism: Suricata suricatta (meerkat)
Lineage: Eukaryota; Metazoa; Chordata; Mammalia; Carnivora; Herpestidae
Exons: 3
Source: RefSeq, a predicted model, not a curated record